Non-coding RNA from Sus scrofa (pig), 47 nucleotides. NCBI's taxonomy places the organism in Eukaryota, Metazoa, Chordata, Mammalia, Artiodactyla, Suidae. The record is from Rfam.
CUUUAGGUUUUAUUGAAAAACCACACACAUUAAAAAAAAAUCAGAAU